CAAAGACAUGUAAGCACCUGGGUACUUCUUGAGCCUUAAAUAAUACCCCGGGAACUGGUUUAUCUGCACUGUGCGCAUAUUCACUUAGUUGAAGAGCCUAAUUUGCAGAUAGCAUUUCCCACUUGAACCUUUACGGUUCAAGAGCGAUAGGCUGCCACGGUUUUUGU
This 167-nucleotide non-coding RNA is filed under the name Gammaproteobacteria bacterium. RNAcentral describes it as "6S RNA". It matches the Rfam family "6S / SsrS RNA", at positions 10 to 177 of the family's 187-position model. Rfam says of the family: E. coli 6S RNA was the first non coding RNA to be sequenced, but its function was unknown until recently. It consists of 184 nucleotides that fold into an extended hairpin structure with a large single-stranded internal bulge. The 6S RNA specifically associates with RNA polymerase holoenzyme containing the sigma70 specificity factor. The record is from RNAcentral. Lineage: Bacteria; Pseudomonadati; Pseudomonadota; Gammaproteobacteria.